GUAGGUGGCAAGCGUUGUCCGGAAUUAUUGGGCGUAAAGCGCGCGCAGGCGGUCCUUUAAGUCUGAUGUGAAAGCCCACGGCUCAACCGUGGAGGGUCAUUGGAAACUGGGGGACUUGAGUACAGAAGAGGAAAGCGGAAUUCCAAGUGUGGCGGUGAAAUGCGUAGAGAUUUGGAGGAACACCAGUGGCGAAGGCGGCUUUCUGGUCUGUAACUGACGCUGAGGCGCGAAAGCGUGGGGAGCAAACAGGAUUAGAUACCCUGGUAGUCCACGCCGUAAACGAUGAGUGCUAAGUGUUAGGGGGUUUCCCGCCCCCUUAGUGCUGCAGCUAACGCAUUAAGCACUCCGCCUGGGGAGUACGGCCGCAAGGCUG
RNAcentral lists this ribosomal RNA (373 nucleotides) under uncultured organism. RNAcentral describes it as "partial 16S ribosomal RNA". It matches the Rfam family "Bacterial small subunit ribosomal RNA", at positions 527 to 896 of the family's 1533-position model. The record is from RNAcentral.